RNAcentral lists this ribosomal RNA (459 nucleotides) under uncultured bacterium. RNAcentral describes it as "partial 16S ribosomal RNA". It matches the Rfam family "Bacterial small subunit ribosomal RNA", at positions 338 to 795 of the family's 1533-position model. The record is from RNAcentral.
CCUACGGGUGGCAGCAGUGAGGAAUAUUGGUCAAUGGGCAGAAGCCUGAACCAGCCACGUAGCGUGCGGGAUGAAGGCCCUACGGGUCGUAAACCGCUUUUGCACGGGGAUAACACCCUCCACUUGUGGAGGUCUGCAGGUACCGUGCGAAUAAGGGCCGGCUAAUUCCGUGCCAGCGGCCGCGGUAAUACGGAGGGCCCGAGCGUUAUCCGGAUUCAUUGGGCCUAAGGGGUGCGUAGGCGGGCGUUCAAGUCAGCGGGAAAAUCGCGCGGCUCAACCGCGCCCCGCAGUUGAAACUGGAAGCCUUGAGUUCACAACAGGCAGGCGGAAUUCGUGGUGUAGCGGUGAAAUGCAUAGAGAUCACGAGGAACCCCGAUUGCGAAGGCAGCCUGCCGGGGUGCGACUGACGCUGAGGCUCGAAGGUGCGGGUAUCAAACAGGAUUAGAUACCCCAGUAGUC